AGAGAUUCUUGUUUAUCUUAGUGGCGGACGGGUGAGUAACGCGUGAGCAACCUGCCUUUCAGAGGGGGAUAACGUCUUGAAAAGGACGCUAAUACCGCAUGAUAUUAUGGAGUCACAUGGCUCUAUAAUCAAAGGAGCAAUCCGCUGAAAGAUGGGCUCGCGUCCGAUUAGGUAGUUGGCGGGAUAACAGCCCACCAAGCCGACGAUCGGUAGCCGGACUGAGAGGUUGAACGGCCACAUUGGGACUGAGACACGGCCCAGACUCCUACGGGAGGCAGCAGUGAGGGAUAAUGGUCAAUGGGGGAAACCCUGAACCAGCAACGCCGCGUGAGGGAUGACGGCCUUCGGGUUGUAAACCUCUGUCCUCUGUGAAGAUAAUGACGGUAGCAGAGGAGGAAGCUCCGGCUAACUACGUGCCAGCAGCCGCGGUAAUACGUAGGGAGCAAGCGUUGUCCGGAUUUACUGGGUGUAAAGGGUGCGUAGGCGGUUUGGUAAGUCAGAAGUGAAAUCCAUGGGCUUAACCCAUGAACUGCUUUUGAAACUAUCGAACUUGAGUGAAGUAGAGGUAGGCGGAAUUCCCGGUGUAGCGGUGAAAUGCGUAGAGAUCGGGAGGAACACCAGUGGCGAAGGCGGCCUACUGGGCUUUAACCUGACGCUGAGGCACGAAAGC
This 670-nucleotide ribosomal RNA is filed under the name uncultured Lachnospiraceae bacterium. Its description in RNAcentral is "bacterial SSU rRNA". It matches the Rfam family "Bacterial small subunit ribosomal RNA", at positions 74 to 760 of the family's 1533-position model. Lineage: Bacteria; Bacillati; Bacillota; Clostridia; Lachnospirales; Lachnospiraceae. The record is from RNAcentral.